CCCAUUCCAGCACUUGGAAACAUGGCAACAUGAACAACUUCAUCAGACAUUGCUAAUUGCUUAUGGAGUUAUGGUUUUGACAAAUGGCUUCCUAGUUUGAUGUUGGAACUGAGAGAGGUAGAGAUAAGUUUCUGAUGGCAAAAUGUUAGAUUUGAUAAUUUUACAAUAACUUCACUGUUUUCAUGGAUGAGAACUAGGAAAGAAAAGUAAGAAGAGACACUCUAAUUUUUUUUUAAAAAGCCAAAUAAAAUAAAUAUAUUAAAAAGAGAGAGACAUUAUUUUAAAAACACAUUUAAUUUCUUGAAUGGUGAACAAAGUACUUCUAAACUCUUAAGAGUUAAAUGAGUAAAUAGUCCCUCUAAAUAUACCAACAUUUGAUUUUAGUCCCUCUAAAAAUUCUUAGGUUGUUGGUCUCUCUAAAAUUUUUCAAUCAUGAAAUUAGUCCAUAUUCUUUAGUCAAAUCAUGUCUAACCUUCAUAAUUUUUAAUGAAAUUUUGCAGAAGGGAGCUCCUAAUAUGGUCAUCAAUUUUAAAGUUUCACCUAUGGUCCUCUCUAAUUGACCUUCUACAUCAAGUUUCUACUUUUUUUUUUUUUUGUUCCAUGGCCCCAUACAAGGUAAUUACAUUUAUGCACUUCUGUAUAAUCU
RNAcentral lists this long non-coding RNA (646 nucleotides) under Medicago truncatula (barrel medic). RNAcentral's name for it is "long non-coding RNA (MTRU_LNC002105)". The record is from RNAcentral. Lineage: Eukaryota; Viridiplantae; Streptophyta; Magnoliopsida; Fabales; Fabaceae.